Molecule: non-coding RNA, 23 nt
Filed under: Arabidopsis thaliana (thale cress)
Lineage: Eukaryota; Viridiplantae; Streptophyta; Magnoliopsida; Brassicales; Brassicaceae
Source: RNAcentral
CAUUAACGGGUUUCUAGGUUCUA